UCACACCUUGCGGUGGCAGUCUCGCCAGAGUCCCCAGCAUAACCUGAUGGCAACUGACGACAAGGGUUGCGCUCGUUAUGGCACUUAAGCCGACACCUCACGGCACGAGCUGACGACAACCAUGCAGCACCUCGACAGAUGUCCCGAAGGACGUCACCAUCUCUGGAUCUCUUCAUCUGCCGUUCGAGCCCGGGUAAGGUUCCUCGCGUAUCAUCGAAUUAAACCACAUGUUCCUCCGCUUGUGCGGGCCCCCGUCAAUUCCUUUGAGUUUCAUUCUUGCGAACGUACUCCCCAGGUGGAUAACUUAUCGCUUUCGCUUGGCCACCGACUGUGUAUCGCCGACAGUUAGUUAUCAUCGUUUACAGUGUGGACUAC
Molecule: unclassified non-coding RNA, 375 nt
Filed under: uncultured Rikenellaceae bacterium
Lineage: Bacteria; Pseudomonadati; Bacteroidota; Bacteroidia; Bacteroidales; Rikenellaceae
Description: contains 16S-23S intergenic spacer region
Source: RNAcentral